UACGGAGGGGGCAAGCGUUAUUCGGAAUUAUUGGGCGUAAAGGGCGCGUAGGCGGCUAGAUGUGUCAAAGGUGAAAUCCCUCGGCUCAACUGAGGAACUGCCUUUGAAACUGUCUGGCUUGAGGCCGGGAGAGGGUAGCGGAAUUCCCAGUGUAGCGGUGAAAUGCGUAGAUAUUGGGAGGAACACCAGUGGCGAAGGCGGCUACCUGGACCGGUUCUGACGCUGAGGCGCGAAAGCCAGGGGAGCAAACGGG
Molecule: ribosomal RNA, 253 nt
Filed under: uncultured bacterium
Lineage: Bacteria
Description: partial 16S ribosomal RNA
Rfam family: Bacterial small subunit ribosomal RNA
Source: RNAcentral